AUCAGAAAAAAUAUGGGACAUAAGCAAAUCAUUAUAAUAACUUUAUUUUGUCUUAUGUGAAACAUCCUCUUUCGAGCAAUUUGAAGUAUUUUACAUCUUUGUAGGACAAUACUUGACAUGUUCUAUUUCUGAAUUGAAAUAUUUGUGCAGACUACUAAAAAUUCAUAGAUGCCCUUAAGCUGAGGGUUCUUUUGUUUGUGUGCACAAAAACCUUUGAGGAGUUAAGUGUUAUGUAUUGAAAAUGUAAUAGUGGGAAAAUUUUCUAUCUAUCAAUCUUUGGGUCUGUCAUCUACUUGUACAGUGCUUAUCACCCUAUCAUCUAUUUGCUACAUAUUUUCUCAAGAUAUAUGGUUUGUAGUUUUCUCUAUAUUUACGGCAAAUAAUGAUUUUUGAUGUUUAUAUAUUCUUAUUUCCCUUUUGAGAAAGAUCAAGAUAACAGUGCACAAUAAUGGAAAGAAUGAGACAAAUAGUUGACUUUUCAACAUUCCAUAAAAACUUUGAAGAUCAAAUCAGCAGUUCAAUAGCCUGAGAAGUUACAGGCAAUCACAGGAAGACAAGAGACAAACUUGGAACUCUUCCAAAAGACCCAAGUAAACAGAGAGGAAGUUUUGGAAGAUUGAAUCAGAGCCAGAAUAAACUAGGAUUUCUGUUUAAGAUGGAUAUUACAAAAGGAACUGAAAAAUGAUUCAGGGAGAUACGUUUAGAUCUGGAAUCAGGCAAAGUUGUUUUAAUUAAACUUUUUAGAAUUAAGAUAUUAACUUGCAUCAGUAUUAAUUUACAUGAGAGACUAUUAAGGAUAUACAGAAAAGGUAUUUGACUAAUCACACCUUUUUUCCUCCUUAGUAUCAAUGCCUAUGGUCAAUUAAGUGGGAAAAAAAUCAAACUAAUUUCAUGUAGUUGCUAAUAUAGUAAAAUAAAAUUUGUGUUUUAUAAAAUUA
Long non-coding RNA from Neofelis nebulosa (Clouded leopard), 938 nucleotides. RefSeq lists it as uncharacterized. Lineage: Eukaryota; Metazoa; Chordata; Mammalia; Carnivora; Felidae. The record is from RefSeq and is a predicted model, not a curated record. The transcript is spliced from 2 exons.